Molecule: ribosomal RNA, 442 nt
Filed under: uncultured bacterium
Lineage: Bacteria
Description: bacterial SSU rRNA
Rfam family: Bacterial small subunit ribosomal RNA
Source: RNAcentral
AACGAACGCUGGCGGCGUGGAUAAGACAUGCAAGUCGAACGCUCAUUGCGGGGUAGCAAUAUUCCGAAGUGGGAGUGGCGAAAGGGUGCGUAACAUGUGGGUAAUCUGCCGUGAAGUUUGGGAUAACUCGCUGAAAGGCGAGCUAAUACCGGAUAUGACUGUCGGGUGGCAACGCUUGAGUUUCAAAGCUGGGGGCCGCAAGGCCUGGCGCUUUACGAUGAGCCCGCAACCUAUCAGCUAGUUGGUGAGGUAACGGCCCACCAAGGCUAAGACGGGUAGCUGGUCUGAGAGGACGACCAGCCACACUGGAACUGAGACACGGUCCAGACACCUACGGGUGGCAGCAGUCGAGAAUUUUUCACAAUGGGCGAAAGCCUGAUGGAGCGACGCGCGUGGGGAUGAAGGGCUUCGGCCCGUAAACCCCUGUCAUUUGUGAACAAUG